Long non-coding RNA from Ostrea edulis (European flat oyster), 377 nucleotides. RefSeq lists it as uncharacterized. The transcript has 2 exons. The record is from RefSeq and is a predicted model, not a curated record. Lineage: Eukaryota; Metazoa; Mollusca; Bivalvia; Ostreida; Ostreidae.
UUAACUAAUAUAUUAAAUUAUAUAACUAGUGCAGCUCCUUUAGCAAAAAUAUCAACAGAAACUUACUAAUAAUUAUUCAUUUUACAUGCAAGAAUCAUCGAGAUCGGCAUCCCACCAAUGUCGUCCUGUACUCGAGCGAUCGAGUCUCGACUGAUUUAUAUCAUUAUGAUUAUGAUAACAAUACCUUGAAAGUAAGAUAGUGGUUUAAAAAGAAAAAGUAAUUGUUUACACCUGCACGUUAAUCCAAGUUUAAGGCGUCUAGCUGUGCCUUGUUCACACCUGUUGUCAUGUGAUUAAAAUAUAAAAGAUGACUUAGGAAUUGUUAUGGAGAUAACACUAUUGUAAACAUGCUUUGAAUAAACAGCCAUUGUUUUCAA